GGCGAACGCUGGCGGCGUGCUUAACACAUGCAAGUCGAACGGAAAGGCCCUGCUUUUGUGGGGUGCUCGAGUGGCGAACGGGUGAGUAACACGUGAGUAACCUGCCCUUGACUUUGGGAUAACUUCAGGAAACUGGGCCUAAUACCGGAUAGGAGCUCCUGCUGCAGGGUGGGGGUUGGAAAGUUUCGGCGGUUGGGGAUGGACUCGCGGCUUAUCAGCUUGUUGGUGGGGUAGUGGCUUACCAAGGCUUUGACGGGUAGCCGGCCUGAGAGGGUGACCGGCCACAUUGGGACUGAGAUACGGCCCAGACUCCUACGGGAGGCAGCAGUGGGGAAUAUUGCACAAUGGGCGGAAGCCUGAUGCAGCAACGCCGCGUGCGGGAUGACGGCCUUCGGGUUGUAAACCGCUUUCGCCUGUGACGAAGCGUGAGUGACGGUAAUGGGUAAAGAAGCACCGGCUAACUACGUG
Molecule: ribosomal RNA, 468 nt
Filed under: uncultured bacterium
Lineage: Bacteria
Description: partial 16S ribosomal RNA
Rfam family: Bacterial small subunit ribosomal RNA
Source: RNAcentral